Molecule: long non-coding RNA, 594 nt
Filed under: Brassica napus (rape)
Lineage: Eukaryota; Viridiplantae; Streptophyta; Magnoliopsida; Brassicales; Brassicaceae
Description: long non-coding RNA (BNAP_LNC008767)
Source: RNAcentral
AAAUACUCUCUGAUAAACUAUUUUUAUUUUUAUUUUUCAUUGACAAUAUAAUACAAAGAACAAGGAAAUCAACUAAAAGAAUAUACAGAUCAUAGAUGAAAAUGCUAAAAGAAGAAGAUGAUGUAUUCAGAAAGAAGAACGAUUACUGAAUAAUUAAAAAAAAAAUCUUCUUUAUUUUGAUCUUCAACCUUCCUUGAUAAGGUGACACUGAAUUGAAUCAGUAAACUAUCCAUCAAAAACUCUUCACGGAGACUUCUAUUCCUCUGGAUUUGCAAGAGAUUCUUCAUUUUUGCCACUGAUGAUAGUGAAUUCUAACAAAAAUGCAUCCCAUAAAGAUACAAAAAUUGUUAUUUUCAAAAGGAAAAAAGAAAACGAGAACUAGAAGAGGAACAAAAGAAAAAUAUUACCUUUUCAUAGUCAGGUUAGGAGACUCUAGUUUUUCUUAAAAUCAUUCAUAAGACGAAUAGAAUCAUGACUCAUAAUAAACAUCUAAAAAAAGAUGGUUGAUUCUUGUUGAUUUUUAUAAAUCAAAUAACCUAGAAUUUAUUGUUUAAGAUGAUAAAAAAGUUUUAAGAGAUAGAUAAGAAGAAGGAC